This 726-nucleotide ribosomal RNA is filed under the name uncultured bacterium. RNAcentral describes it as "bacterial SSU rRNA". It matches the Rfam family "Bacterial small subunit ribosomal RNA", at positions 89 to 803 of the family's 1533-position model. The record is from RNAcentral.
UGGAUAGUGGCGAAAGGGUUAGUAAUGGAUAGGUAACGUACCCUUUGCUUCGGGAUAGCGUCAUUCGCCUUCGGGCGAAUUUCCGAAAGGGGCGGUAAUACCGAAUAAUAUCAUUUGUCGAUAGGCAGAUGAUCAAAGAUUUAUCGGCAAAGGAGCGGCUUAUCUCCUAUCAGCUUGUUGGUGGGGUAAUGGCUCACCAAGGCUAUGACAGGUAGCGGGACUGAGAGGUUGACCCGCAACAUCGGGACUGAGACACUGCCCGGACCUCCACGGAGGGCUGCAGUAACGAAUAUUGCGCAAUGGGCGAAAGCCUGACGCAGCGACGCCGCGUGUAGGAUGAAGUCUUUCGGGAUGUAAACUACUGUCAGGGGUAAGAAAGUCCGCUUCGGCGGAUUGAUCUAACCCAGAGGAAGUCACGGCUAACUUCGUGCCAGCAGCCGCGGUAAGACGAAGGUGGCUAGCGUUGUUCGGUGUCACUGGGCUUAAAGAGUGUGUAGGCGGAAAAGCAAGCGCUUUGUGAAAGCCCCAGGCUUAACCUGGGAAUUGCUCGGCGAACUGCUUUUCUUGAGGCAAGUAGGGGUGCAUGGAACUCUUGGUGGAGCGGUGGAAUGCGUAGAUAUCAAGAGGAACGCCGGCGGUGAAAACGGUGCACUGGGCUUGACCUGACGCUGAGACACGAAAGCGUGGGGAGCGAACGGGAUUAGAUACCCCGGUAGUCCACGCCGU